GAUGAACGCUGGUGGCGUGCCUAAUACAUGCAAGUCGAGCGAACGGACGAGAAGCUUGCUUCUCUGAUGUUAGCGGCGGACGGGUGAGUAACACGUGGAUAACCUACCUAUAAGACUGGGAUAACUUCGGGAAACCGGAGCUAAUACCGGAUGAUAUUUUGAACCGCAUGGUUCAAAAGUGAAAGACGGUCUUGCUGUCACUUAUAGAUGGAUCCGCGCUGCAUUAGCUAGUUGGUAAGGUAACGGCUUACCAAGGCAACGAUGCAUAGCCGACCUGAGAGGGUGAUCGGCCACACUGGAACUGAGACACGGUCCAGACUCCUACGGGAGGCAGCAGUAGGGAAUCUUCCGCAAUGGGCGAAAGCCUGACGGAGCAACGCCGCGUGAGUGAUGAAGGUCUUCGGAUCGUAAAACUCUGUUAUUAGGGAAGAACAUAUGUGUAAGUAACUGUGCACGUCUUGACGGUACCUAAUCAGAAAGCCACGGCUAACUACGUG
RNAcentral lists this ribosomal RNA (497 nucleotides) under uncultured bacterium. Its description in RNAcentral is "partial 16S ribosomal RNA". It matches the Rfam family "Bacterial small subunit ribosomal RNA", at positions 28 to 507 of the family's 1533-position model. The record is from RNAcentral.